GAUGAAGAACGUAGCGAAAUGCGAUAAGUAAUGUGAAUUGCAGAAUUCAGUGAAUCAUCGAAUCUUUGAACGCACAUUGCGCCCUCUGGUAUUCCGGGGGGCAUGCCUGUUCGAGCGUCAUUAUAACCACUCAAGCUCUCGCUUGGUAAUGGGGUUCGCGGUUCCGCGGCCCCUAAAAUCAGUGGCGGUGCCUGUCGGCUCUACGCGUAGUAAUACUCCUCGCGAUUGAGUCCGGUAGGUCUACUUGCCAGCAACCCCCAAUUUUUACAGGUUGACCUCGGAUCAGGUAGGGAUACCCGCUGAACUUAAGCAUAUCAAUAAGCGGAGGA
This 329-nucleotide unclassified non-coding RNA is filed under the name soil metagenome. RNAcentral describes it as "partial contains 5.8S ribosomal RNA, internal transcribed spacer 2, and large subunit ribosomal RNA". The stretch from base 1 to 120 matches the Rfam family "5.8S ribosomal RNA", at positions 35 to 154 of the family's 154-position model. The record is from RNAcentral.